AAUUCUCCGACCCAACCUAGAAAAUAAUUCACCAUUUUUGGCUUAUAAUCUCUACUCAUGCUACUAUCGCUACCAUUGCUUCCAACGUUCAAAAUUGAACGGCCAACUUGACUCAGAAUUUAAUUUUAUCUAUUUAAAAUCUCGCCAAAAAUCAACCCUAAUUUUUUCAUAUAUAUAGUGGCAUUAGGGAAACAAUUUGAAGAGGCGUGAACUCCCUCCUUUAACCUUAAGCUUCAGCCGCCCUUUUACCCAAAAACAGGGUCGUCACCCGCACCUUUACCCCUAAAAUACUAAAGAUUCAUCCGCCAUUUUACUACAAAAACGAUGGUUCAGCCACCCACUUUCACCCCAAAGUCGAGAGUUUUUUAGCCACCUCUAUUAAUUCACUUCUCUAAUUAAAGACAGAGUACUCUAGUUAUCUUUGUAUUUCUAGCCAUUACGAAGGUUUAUUUGCUUAUUCCGGCGACUAACGAUAGUCUGAGGUAGCGAGUUUGAAGUCGGAGUUCAAUAGUGCAUCUAAGACCCCGCCUCAGUUUACUGCCCACAAAAAGAUACACUUGGAUCAAAAAUGGAAACUCACCGGAGACUCAGCACUACUCAAGUGUGGAGUCGUCAUAUCUCAUAUUCCUGUAGAUGCACCGGAUAGCUAGAAAAACAAGCAAAACACUUAGGAUGCCUCUGACGUCUUUCAUACUUGUUGUUUUUCUUUUUCCAUUCAUUCUUGUCUAGUUUAUAUGAUCCUUGAUUUAUCUGUGUGUGGUUGGGUUGACUUCAAGGUUCGGAUGUUAUAACAUUUAGGAGUCGCCACUAAGUUAAAUUAAUUUCGGAUCUGCUAGUUUAAACUUGUGUCUCAUUCCUUAGUUCAUUAACAUGGUUAUUUUGCUUAAAACUUGUAAGAGCAGGCUUUGGCUAAAUCUUGGCUAUCUAAACUAUUUUACUUUUUUUUU
Molecule: long non-coding RNA, 947 nt
Filed under: Nicotiana benthamiana
Lineage: Eukaryota; Viridiplantae; Streptophyta; Magnoliopsida; Solanales; Solanaceae
Description: long non-coding RNA (NBEN_LNC003478)
Source: RNAcentral